CUAGAGACUCACCUAACCCAUCCCUGUCACUGAGUUCAAACUUCUCACCAUUCCUGCCUUCAUUGGAACAGAACAGCCUCAGGGCCUCUGCUGUCCUAUCCUAGAGCAGCUGUCCCACCCCAGAUCGUCUUAUACUCCUAAAUGGAAUCUUUCUCUUACUGAUUGCUGUCCACCAUCCUUCAAAUUCUGGAGCUCUGUGAAGGCAAAACAUAGAAUAUGGUGGGACUUUCAGCAACCAGAGGAAGGAGAAAGGGGAAAGAGGGAGAUUCAGAUCAUCAAGGAGGAUGGAGGAUUUGGAGUCAUGAGAAAGGGGUUCAGAGAGAGAUCAUGGAAACACACCUGAAGCUCAGCGCCCAAUCAAUAAUAAAAUGUGUUGAUGUGCUGUCGCGACUGCUCUGGAGCACCCUUGAAGUCCAGCUCUUCCAUUUCUGCUUCGUAGAACUUGCGGCAGGCAUCUUUAAAAGACUGAGACAGAGCAACAUAACUACACAGCUAUGAAUGUGAUUAGCACCAAGAGCCUCCUUCCUAAUGUGAAAAGCAAGAGUUCAAUUAUGUGCAAAUGUACCUCCUGUUAAAAAGGGGGAGGUGGGAAAUCUAUUAAAAAAAAAACACCUCUAUAUACUCAA
Molecule: long non-coding RNA, 626 nt
Filed under: Rattus norvegicus (Norway rat)
Lineage: Eukaryota; Metazoa; Chordata; Mammalia; Rodentia; Muridae
Description: long non-coding RNA NONRATT012427
Source: RNAcentral